RNAcentral lists this transfer RNA (71 nucleotides) under Typhlonectes natans (Rio Cauca caecilian). RNAcentral's name for it is "tRNA-Ser". It matches the Rfam family "tRNA". From Rfam's summary of the family: Transfer RNA (tRNA) molecules are approximately 80 nucleotides in length. Their secondary structure includes four short double-helical elements and three loops (D, anti-codon, and T loops). Lineage: Eukaryota; Metazoa; Chordata; Amphibia; Gymnophiona; Typhlonectidae. The record is from RNAcentral.
GAAAGGGUGAUAGAGUGAUUAUAUGGUUGUUUUGAAAUCAGCUUAUGUGGGUUAGAUUCCUACCCCUUUUG